This 2128-nucleotide ribosomal RNA is filed under the name Heterosigma akashiwo. RNAcentral describes it as "partial Eukaryotic large subunit ribosomal RNA". It matches the Rfam family "Eukaryotic large subunit ribosomal RNA", at positions 1 to 2042 of the family's 3401-position model. The record is from RNAcentral. Lineage: Eukaryota; Raphidophyceae; Chattonellales; Chattonellaceae.
AUCUCUAUUGAAGCAAGAAGACCCCCUGAAUUUAAGCAUAUAAUUAAGGGGAGGAAAAGAAACCAACUCGGAUUCCCCUAGUAAUGGCGAGUGAAGCGGGAAGAGCUCAUGUUGUAAAUCUCCAGCUUGCUGGCGAAUUGUAGUCUAAAGGUGCGUGCUCAGUCGUGGUCCCGGGCUAAGUCUGUUGGAAAACAGCAUCAUGGACGGUGACAAUCCGGUUCUUGCCUGGGGUCCCGCGGCGUACGAGCCGUUUCCGACGAGUCGUGUUGCUUGGGAUUGCAGCACUAAGUGGGUGGUAAAUUCCAUCUAAAGCUAAAUAUUGGUGGGAGACCGAUAGCGAACAAGUACCGUGAGGGAAAGAUGAAAAGACUUUUGAAAAGAGAGUAAAAUAGUACCUGAAACUGCUGAAAGGGAAGCGAUUGAAGUCAGUGUUGCUCCUGGUCUUUUUGCCGUCGCCCCCGUGGGGGUUGCGGCGUGGGGCCUGGAGCGUUUCAACAUGCGUUCUGUUCCGCGGGAAAUGUUCAGUGUGCUGGAACCUUCGGGGAAACGCACUGUUCUUGUCGUGGUUAGGACGGAGGACCUUUGCUCCUUUGACUGCGCGUUCCUCUCUCGGGUAUGCUGGUGUCUACUGCUUGCAGUUUUCAUUUUCAUGCUUGCGACUGUGCGUGUUAUUCAUGAGCGAACAUGAUGUUGAAGAAAUGGCUUUAAUUACCCCGUCUUGAAACACGGACCAAGGAGUCUAACAUACGUGCGAGUACUAUGGUGGCAAACCAUUGUGCGCAAUGAAAGUGAAGGCUGGCUUCCGUCAGCUGAGGUGGGAUCCGCAAGGAGCACCAUCGACCGACCAUGUCCCUUCGGGGUAAAGGUUUGAGUGUGAGCAUUUAUGUUGGGACCCGAAAGAUGGUGAACUAUGCCUGAAUAGGGCGAAGCCAGGGGAAACUCUGGUGGAGGCUCGUAGCGAUUCUGACGUGCAAAUCGAUCGUCAAAUUUGGGUAUAGGGGCGAAAGACUAAUCGAACCAUCUAGUAGCUGGUUCCCUCCGAAAUUUCCCUUAGGAUAGCUGCAACCGGUUAAGAGUUUUAUCAGGUAAAGCGAAUGAUUAGAGGAUUCGGGGACGGAAUGUCCUCGACCUAUUCUCAAACUUUAAAUGGGUAAGAACCCGGGGUUGCUUAAUUGAACCCUGCGGUCGAAUCUCGGUUGCUAGUGGGCCAGUCCGGGUAAGCUGGACUGGCGAUGCGGGAUGAUCCGAACGCUGAGUUAAAGUGCCUAACUGCUCGCUCACCUAGAUCCCACAAAAGGUGUUGGUUCAUCCAGACAGCAGGACGGUGGCCAUGGAAGUCGGAAUCCGCUAAGGAGUGUGUAACAACUCACCUGCCGAAUGAACUAGCCCUGAAAAUGGAUGGCGCUAAAGCGUGCGACUUAUACUCAGCCAUCAGCGCGAGACGUAUGUGCUGAUGAGUAGGAGGGCGUGAUGCUCGUAUCGAAGCCUUGGGCGUGAGCCUGGGUGAAACGUGCAUUAGUGCAGAUCUUGGUGGUAGUAGCAACUAUUCAAAUGAGAACUUUGAAGACUGAAGCGGAGAAAGGUUCCAUGUGAACAGCAAUUGGACAUGGGUUAGUCGAUCCUAAGGCUCAGAGUAACUCCGUUAUAAGGCGGGCUUUUUUCGGAAAGCCCCGGUGGCCGAAAGGGAAGAAGGUUAAAAUUCCUUCACCUGGACGUGGAUAACGAGUGGUAACACAAGCAAAACUGGAGACGUCGGCUGGAGUCCCGGGAAGAGUUCUCUUUUCUUGUUAACAGUUCCGCAGGCCCUGGAAUCGGAUUAUCCGGCGAUAGGGUCUGGUGGCUGGGAAAGCAGCUUAAUCUUUGAGCUGUCCGGUGCUCUCCAGACGGCCCUUGAAAAUCCGGUGGCGUGACUUAUUUACACCCCAGGUCGUACUCAUAACCGCAUCAGGUCUCCAAGGUGAGUAGCCUCUAGUCGAUAGAGUAAUGUGGAUAAGGGAAGUCGGCAAAAUAGAUCCGUAACCUCGGGAAAAGGAUUGGCUCUGAGGGCUGGGCACGGGGGUCCCAGUCCCGAACCCGUCGGCUGUCGGUGGACUGCUCGAGCUGCUCCCGCGGCGAGAGCGGGUCGCCG